Long non-coding RNA from Oryzias melastigma (Indian medaka), 272 nucleotides. RefSeq lists it as uncharacterized. NCBI's taxonomy places the organism in Eukaryota, Metazoa, Chordata, Actinopteri, Beloniformes, Adrianichthyidae. The record is from RefSeq and is a predicted model, not a curated record. The transcript has 2 exons.
AACUUCAAACUUUCAGGACUCCAGAAACAAAAUUAUUGACCUGCACCAGGCUGGGAAGAAUCUCCUUACCCAGAGCAAUGAGGCCAAACAGGAGUCCCAGCAGGAGCAGAGACAGGAGGAGCAGACCCAGCAGCCACUUCCACCAGGAGCAGCAGGAGUCGGAGCAGCAACAGACUCCUCCACCCCCGAAGACGCCACUGUCCCUGUAGAUCUCUGAGGAAAUAGUUUUGGAAUCAAAAAGUGCUUUCAUGCAAAAUAAAUGACUAACAUAC